RNAcentral lists this transfer RNA (71 nucleotides) under Oceanisphaera arctica. RNAcentral describes it as "tRNA-Phe". The record is from RNAcentral. Lineage: Bacteria; Pseudomonadati; Pseudomonadota; Gammaproteobacteria; Aeromonadales; Aeromonadaceae.
GACUGGCGUUUAGCCAGAGCAGGGGAUUGAAAAUCCCCGUGUCGGCGGUUCGAUUCCGUCUCUGGGCACCA